GUGGGGAAUAUUGCGCAAUGGGCGAAAGCCUGACGCAGCGACGCCGCGUGAGGGAUGAAGGUUUUCGGAUCGUAAACCUCUGUCAGAAGGGAAGAAACUACGUUGUGCUAAUCAGCAGCGUACUGACGGUACCUUCAAAGGAAGCACCGGCUAACUCCGUGCCAGCAGCCGCGGUAAUACGGAGGGUGCAAGCGUUAAUCGGAAUUACUGGGCGUAAAGCGCACGUAGGCUGUAGUGUAAGUCAGGGGUGAAAUCCCACGGCUCAACCGUGGAACUGCCUUUGAUACUGCACAACUUGAAUCCGGGAGAGGGUGGCGGAAUUCCAGGUGUAGGAGUGAAAUCCGUAGAUAUCUGGAGGAACAUCAGUGGCGAAGGCGGCCACCUGGACCGGUAUUGACGCUGAGGUGCGAAAGCCAGGGGAGCAAACGGGAUUAGAAACCCCGGUAGUCC
This 450-nucleotide ribosomal RNA is filed under the name uncultured bacterium. Its description in RNAcentral is "partial 16S ribosomal RNA". It matches the Rfam family "Bacterial small subunit ribosomal RNA", at positions 354 to 796 of the family's 1533-position model. The record is from RNAcentral.